GGGGACGACACGGCUUCGACGGGAGUUGCAAAGUCCUGGUUGCAUGUAGAGGUGCCGAGGCCUCUUAAAAAACGGCACAACUUGUAAUUGGCAACGAUUACGCUAUGGCAGCUUAAUUUAAGCUUCCCGAUCUCCUUAACUUCGCUCAAGAGUUAAGAUAGAUCGUCAUUUUUUGAGCUAGUCUUUAACGUCUCAUAGGUGCGUUACAGGCGAAACUUAAGUCUAUGGAGAUGAUUUGUAGUUUGUUUGUGGACGCCUCAUCAUCUUACAAAAACACAAACUAAACAUGUAGAAGCUAGAGAUAGAGUACUUUCGGACCCGGGUUCAACUCCCGGCGUCUCCACCA
RNAcentral lists this transfer-messenger RNA (346 nucleotides) under Pseudobdellovibrionaceae bacterium. RNAcentral describes it as "Bdellovibrionaceae bacterium transfer-messenger RNA". It matches the Rfam family "transfer-messenger RNA". Rfam says of the family: Bacterial tmRNA, also known as 10Sa RNA or SsrA, is named for its dual tRNA and mRNA-like properties. Its role is to liberate the mRNA from a stalled ribosome. To accomplish this part of the tmRNA is used as a reading frame that ends in a translation stop signal. Lineage: Bacteria; Pseudomonadati; Bdellovibrionota; Bdellovibrionia; Bdellovibrionales; Pseudobdellovibrionaceae. The record is from RNAcentral. RNAcentral also lists the same sequence under 2 other names.